This 300-nucleotide ribosomal RNA is filed under the name uncultured Slackia sp. RNAcentral describes it as "partial 16S ribosomal RNA". The stretch from base 51 to 300 matches the Rfam family "Bacterial small subunit ribosomal RNA", at positions 547 to 795 of the family's 1533-position model. Lineage: Bacteria; Bacillati; Actinomycetota; Coriobacteriia; Eggerthellales; Eggerthellaceae. The record is from RNAcentral.
ACAAAAGGGGGCGGGGGGCGGGGGUAAUAGGGGGGGGGGGGGGGGGGUCCGGGUUAUGUGGGGGUAAAGGACUCGGAGGCGGGGUCGUAAGUCGGGUGUGAAAUCUCCACGCUUAACGUGGAGGGGCCACUCGAUACUGCCAUGACUCGAGGCAGGUAGAGGAGUGGGGAAUUCCCGGUGUAGCGGUGAAAUGCGCAGAUAUCGGGAGGAACACCCGUAGCGAAGGCGGCACUCUGGGCCGGAACUGACGCUGAGGAGCGAAAGCGUGGGGAGCAAACAGGAUUAGAUACCCUAGUAGUC